This 301-nucleotide ribosomal RNA is filed under the name uncultured bacterium. RNAcentral describes it as "partial 16S ribosomal RNA". It matches the Rfam family "Bacterial small subunit ribosomal RNA", at positions 509 to 807 of the family's 1533-position model. The record is from RNAcentral.
CAGCCGCCGCGGUAAUACGAAGGGUGCAAGCGUUACUCGGAAUUACUGGGCGUAAAGCGUGCGUAGGUGGUGGUUUAAGUCCGUUGUGAAAGCCCUGGGCUCAACCUGGGAAUGGCAAUGGAUACUGGCAAGCUAGAGUGUGUCAGAGGAUGGUGGAAUUCCCGGUGUAGCGGUGAAAUGCGUAGAGAUCGGGAGGAACAUCAGUGGCGAAGGCGGCCAUCUGGGACAACACUGACGCUGAGGCACGAAAGUGUGGGGAGCAAACAGGAUUAGAUACCCCCGUAGUCCCUGUCUCUUAUAC